UCCGGCCUUCCUCGGGAACCGCUUCUUGUUUCCCUCUCGGCGUCUGUUAGCUUCGGUAGUCGUACGUACAGCUCUCAAGAAGGGAUGGAGGCUUGGUCAUGUGUCCUGGUUAAUGCACGAAGAAGAGGAGGAGACAAGUCGUCCAGCGAGAAGGGAUUCGAGGUGACGGAGAUCAAGCAAGGUGGGACAAUCGAUCGAUAUUAAGUUGGAAGAAAAGGGUUGGAUUUCAAGGGUUAGAAAGGAAAAAUCUGCGAAAAUGUUGGUCGAUUGGAUUAGAGAUUAUUUUUCUGAGGUUGGCAUACAAAAAAAGAGGAGCUCAAGAAUUUGUCUGGUGAAGCACAUUCAACGUUUGUAUUGUUUGUCUUUGAUCAUUUGGUGAGAGAACUUGAGGAAAGCAAUGGAAAAUUUUGCUUACUGGUAAACUUUCAUACAAUUUGACUCAUUAGACAUUAUAAAUUUAUAAUGUGAUAUGGUCCCAGGCAAUUAGGUAGUUCAUCACAAUCUCAAAGCUUCUCAAACUAGAACAAGAACUAUGGCAUAUGAUUGCAAGAACAUCCUGUCAUUCACCUGUUCUGUUCAUGAAUGUCUUGUUGGAUGCCCAACAUAAAAGCCUAACACAAAAGCCAGCCAAAAGAAUAAAUCUUGGAAGCUUUUUUUUGAUACUACACCAAAUUGAACACCCAGUGGCUGGCAAAGAGGCCCUACAUGUUGAUGUCUGAUGUGAUACAUGUUGCACUGGAGACAUGAAUGCCAUACCCUUUCCUGCAGUAUCUAUGAUUGAACAUAAUUGAAUGGUGAGUCCAAACUGAUUCCUGCAUUGAUCUUCCUAUACACUAACAAAA
Musa acuminata subsp. malaccensis (wild Malaysian banana) is the source of this 842-nucleotide long non-coding RNA. RefSeq lists it as uncharacterized. Lineage: Eukaryota; Viridiplantae; Streptophyta; Magnoliopsida; Zingiberales; Musaceae. The record is from RefSeq and is a predicted model, not a curated record.